GGGAAGGAGGGCGAGAAGAGCGGCGCUCCGGGCUCCCCUGCGGCCAGGGGACAGACGGCGCGGCCGCCCCAGGCGGUGGAGUGCGAGGAUGAGCAGCGGGGAUGGUGGGGGCCGGGCGGGCGCCAUCAGUUACGCCCUUCCCUCCAUCCCUUCCAAUAAACUCCCGGACUUGCGUUUUAUCAGCCGUGGCGCUUACGGUACCGUGUCCGCCGCCCGCCACGCCGACUGGAGGGUCCCGGUGGCCCUGAAAUGCCUGCAGGGGCCGCUGCUGGACAGUGAUAGAAACCACCUUCUAAAAGAAGCAGAGAUAUUACACAAAGCCAGGUUUAGUUACAUUCUGCCAAUUUUGGGAAUUUGCAACGAGCCUGAAUUUCUGGGGAUAGUAACAGAAUACAUGACAAAUGGGUCAUUAAACCAGCUUUUACAUGGGAAAGAUCUAUAUCCUGACAUUCCCUGGUGCCUGAGAUUCCGCAUUCUUUAUGAAAUUGCUUUGGGAGUAAACUAUUUGCACAACAUGAAUCCUCCAUUGCUGCACCAUGACUUGAAAACCCAGAAUAUUUUGCUGGAUGAUGAGUUUCAUGUCAAGAUUGCAGAUUUUGGCAUGUCAAAAUGGCGUGUCAUAUCCAUGUCACAAUCACGAAGUGAAACCUCUUUACCAGAAGGAGGGACAAUUAUCUACAUGCCACCUGAAGAUUACAAUCCCAGUCAGAAAACCCGUGCAAGUGUAAAACACGAUAUCUACAGUUAUGCAAUUAUUAUGUGGGAAGUGAUGUCAAGGAAACAGCCAUUCGAAGAAGUUAUAAACCCCUUGCAGAUAAUGUAUAGUGUGUCACAAGGACAGCGACUAGACUUAAGUGAAGAAAGUCUAUCAAUGGACAUUCCUCAUCGAGUGAUCAUCAUAAGAUUGAUAGAAAGUGGAUGGGCACAAAAUCCAGAUGAAAGACCAUCGUUCUUAAAAUGUUUAAUAGACCUUGAGCCAGUGCUGCGAACAUUUGAUGAAAUAGCUAUGCUGGAAGCAGUAAUUCUAUUAAAGAGAUCAAAGUCACUAUAUGAAUCACGAUUUAUUUACAAGAGUGGAAAGCAAGCAGAUGUGGAGCAGAUAUCACUAAAUAUACCUGUGAAUCCCCACGAGGAAACAUAUUCUGGCUCCAUACAGUGUGAUGCGCUUCCUCUUCGGAGCAUCUCUCCAGAUAUAUCAAGACUCGAGUCUGUUCCCAAGUGUAAUAUCUUCUCAUCAGAUGGAAGUUCUGGGGGUCUACAGUCUCUCAGCUGUAAGAGCACAGAUGAAAAUAUCUCUGUAACUCAGAGCGCCAAACUUCUCGUGCAUCCAUACAGUUGUUUUCCCUCACCUGACAAGAGUAAUUCAGAUGCCUCAAAUUCUGCAUCAUGUAUGCUGCGGUCAUCACCAAUUCCUUCAGCACCAGGUCGGGUUGAACAUUGGAACAGGUUCCCACGGAAUCUAUAGAAGUCCCAUCACUUGGAGAUGUUCAAAAUUCAGCUGGACAAGGCACUGAGCAACCUGAGUUAUCCUUGAAGUUUGCCCCACUUUGAGCAGGCCAUUAGACAAGAAGACCUCCUUGAGGGUUCCUUCUCACCUAAAUUAUUAGAUUUUGUUUUGGAAACCAUACAACGGAACGUAGCUCAUCAAUGGAUCCAAAGCAAAAGAGAAGAAAUUAUUGAUCAGAUGACCGAAGCAUGUUUGAAUCAGUCACUGGAUGCUCUUCUAUCAAGAUUUUUACUCAUGAAAGAAGACUAUGAACUUAUAAGCACGAAACCUACAAGGACAUCAAAAGUACGACAACUGCUUGAUACCUCAGAUAGCCAAGGAGAGGAAUUUGCCAGAAUUAUAAUACAAAAGUUGAAAGAUAACAAACAGCUAGGACUUCAACCUUAUCCAGACAUUGUGCCAAAUUCUCUAAGACUGCGUCUUUAAAUUUAUUCUUUCUAUAUGAAACCAUGUGAAUAUUCCUUACAACACGAUUCUUGUUUCUAUAUAGCGGUUUUAUAUAUGUACUGGUUUGUCUUUACUAUGCCUUUGUAGAGUCUCAGAAAUGACACUGAAUUCAUCUAGACUGCAUUUGGUGAAAUGUGUCAGAAAUGACACUGAAUGCAUCUAGACUGCAUUCAUCUAGACUGUAAUUUAUUAGUUGGAGUGCAGCCAUAAUGCCAAACACUAGACACUUGUUGACUCAGUUCAUAAAAGUGUUUUGUAUAUACAUGACAAAGAAAAAAUAUUAAAUGUUCCCUGGUUUACA
Molecule: RNA transcript, 2255 nt
Organism: Strigops habroptila (Kakapo)
Lineage: Eukaryota; Metazoa; Chordata; Aves; Psittaciformes; Psittacidae
Gene: RIPK2
Gene name: receptor interacting serine/threonine kinase 2
Exons: 12
Source: RefSeq, a predicted model, not a curated record